RNAcentral lists this long non-coding RNA (1299 nucleotides) under Homo sapiens (human). Its description in RNAcentral is "HSALNT0210030". The record is from RNAcentral. Lineage: Eukaryota; Metazoa; Chordata; Mammalia; Primates; Hominidae.
GUGGGCUCCACCCAGUUUGAGCUUCCCAGGUGCUUUGUUUACCUAAGCAAGCCUGGGCAAUGGUGGGCGCCCCUCCCCCAGCCUUGCUGCCGCUUGCAGUUUGAUCUCAGACUGCUGUGCUAGCAAUCAGCGAGACUCCGUGGGGUAGGACCCUCCGAGCCAGGUGGGAGAUAUAAUCUCUUGGUGCGCUGUUUUUUAAGCCCGUCGGAAAAGCGCAGUAUUAGGGUGGGAGUGACCCGAUUUUCCAGGUGCGGUCUGUUACCCUUUUCUUUGACUAGGAAAGGGAACUCCCUGACCCCUUGCGCUUCCCACUGACCUGCGCCCACUGUCUGGCACUCCCUAGUGAGAUGAACCCGGUACCUCAGAUGGAAAUGCAGAAAUCACCCGUCUUCUGUGUCGCUCACCCUGGGAGCUGUAGACCGGAGCUGUUCCUAUGCAGCCAUCUUGGCUGCCACCUCUGAAAUGUCUGCAUUCCUGUAUCUGCUCUGUGCCCUUUGCUCUGCUUGGCCUGGCUGAAGGAAGCACCUCUACUCCACCACCAUCUGGGCCUUUCCUAAACCUUGUCACCUGAGAGCCAUUCUCAACCUGCAGAACUUCCAGGACAACACUUUAACUUGAUUACUUCCCCAACCUAUGCCCUCCAGCCACCAGAAAGAAGCCUUCAGGAGUCCCUACAGCACCCACGCAGGCCCUCUCCAGUUUUCCCCCUCCCUUCCUGAUGCUGUGAAAACCACAGAAUAAAUGUUUAUCACUUUCAAAAAUAUUAUAUAUAUAUAUAAUAUAAAUGAAUUUUUCUUUUUACUGCACAUAAUAUAGUACCCUGUUCACCUCUCAGAUAAAUAAAUCAUAAUUAUCAUUUUCUGCUUUUAAAUACCCUGAAAAUAUAAAAAGUUACAUAAAAUCAAUUUUUUGAAACAUAAGUGCCUUAUAAUUAAUCAAACUGUAUUCCUGUCUAUUAUAUUAAGGUUUUUUUUUUCUUUUUCUGUGUGGUAUAAAUGCAACUAUGAGAAAUUCUUACAACUCUUUCUAGUCAUAGAAGGAUAUUACUAUUUUGAAAGCUUUAGUGCAUAUCAACAAUAUGACAUUGAGAAAUGUUGGAUUAAGUUGUCUCACCACCAGCAUUGCUUGGAAGUGCCUAUCUCUCUAAACACUGUCACUAACAUGGGGAAUUAUCAUUAAAGAAAAGAAAGUCUCAUCAACUUCUAGUCUUGAAAAUAUGUCAUAAUUAUAUAGGUAAAUCCUUGAGUGCUACAGUUUAGUCAUUUUUUACAUGUUUGUUGGUUCCUAUACAUAGUACCA